UAAAAUUUAUAAAAUUAGGUAGUAAAGAAAUUUCUGAAACCUAAAGAAUUUGGCGGUAUUUUAAAUAAUUGGAGGAACCUGUUAUUUAAUUGACAAUCCACAACACAUCUUACCUAAAUUUUAUUUGUAUAUCGUCGUUUUGAUAAUAUUUAAAAAUAAUAAUCAAUUUUAAUUAAUUUUGGAAUUCAGAUCAAGGUGCAGUAUAUUUAGGUUAUAAUGGGUUACAAUAUAUUUAUAUAUAACGAAUAUAAAGUUGAAAUUAUAUUAAAGGUGGAUUCAAAAGUAAAAUUAAAUUAAAAAGUUAAUUUGAUUAAUAAUUUAAAAUAUGC
Molecule: ribosomal RNA, 329 nt
Filed under: Paravaejovis gravicaudus
Lineage: Eukaryota; Metazoa; Arthropoda; Arachnida; Scorpiones; Vaejovidae
Description: partial 12S ribosomal RNA
Source: RNAcentral